AGUGAACGCUGGCGGUAGGCCUAACACAUGCAAGUCGAACGGCAGCACAGUAAGAGCUUGCUCUUACGGGUGGCGAGUGGCGGACGGGUGAGGAAUACAUCGGAAUCUACUUUUUCGUGGGGGAUAACGUAGGGAAACUUACGCUAAUACCGCAUACGACCUACGGGUGAAAGCAGGGGAUCUUCGGACCUUGCGCGAUUGAAUGAGCCGAUGUCGGAUUAGCUAGUUGGCGGGGUAAAGGCCCACCAAGGCGACGAUCCGUAGCUGGUCUGAGAGGAUGAUCAGCCACACGGGAACGGAGACACGGUCCAGACUCCUACGGGAGGCAGCAGUGGGGAAUAUUGGACAAUGGGCGCAAGCCUGAUCCAGCCAUACCGCGUGGGUGAAGAAGGCCUUCGGGUUGUAAAGCCCUUUUGUUGGGAAAGAAAAGCAGCAGGUUAAUACCCCGCUGUUCUGACGGUACCCAAAGAAUAAGCACCGGCUAACUUCGUG
This 492-nucleotide ribosomal RNA is filed under the name uncultured bacterium. RNAcentral describes it as "partial 16S ribosomal RNA". It matches the Rfam family "Bacterial small subunit ribosomal RNA", at positions 29 to 507 of the family's 1533-position model. The record is from RNAcentral.